Long non-coding RNA from Phyllopteryx taeniolatus (common seadragon), 594 nucleotides. RefSeq lists it as uncharacterized. The transcript has 4 exons. Lineage: Eukaryota; Metazoa; Chordata; Actinopteri; Syngnathiformes; Syngnathidae. The record is from RefSeq and is a predicted model, not a curated record.
ACCAGAUGAAGAAAUAUUGCGCAUGGUCAGGCUCUCACAUUCGGUGUUUUGGAGACCGAGAGAGCAGACUUGGAUGGUUUGGACACAUCCAGAGGAGAGAGAGUGAGGAUGUUGCUCGAAGGGUGAUGAGGAGGGAGCUGCCGGCCAAGAGAAAUAAAAGAAGACCAGAGAGAAGGUUUAUCGAUGUUGCGAGGGAAGACACGAGGGCAGUUGGCGUUAGAGAGGAGGACGCAGGAGAUAGGCUCUCACAUCAGAUCUUCUAACAUCUCGGACAUCCGAUAUCAGAUGCUGAAGCCACGCGAGUGUCCCGUUCUCCACAGGUGCGGGGCCGUGACCUCUGGGCAUGACCCUCAAAUAUCUCAGACACCCGAUGUCACGUACUGAAGCCACCUGUCUUGACAAAAUCCGUGGGACACGGUCACACCCACCAUCGACGCGGGGCGAGGCCGAAGGACCGCAUUCACAGGUGUCCCCGAACAUGAUGUCAUGCGACAAAAACGCGAGGGACCAUGAUGUCACAUCGGAUGUGACGUCAAUGGGGACAGGUGGCCCGAGAGGUGACGUCAUCGGACACGUCCGCUGGCAGUGUGCCAA